RNAcentral lists this long non-coding RNA (274 nucleotides) under Sorghum bicolor (sorghum). Its description in RNAcentral is "long non-coding RNA (SBIC_LNC018391)". The record is from RNAcentral. Lineage: Eukaryota; Viridiplantae; Streptophyta; Magnoliopsida; Poales; Poaceae.
UUGCCAAUAGAUGCGGUAAAGGGUAAAGAAAAAUCAGGAACAUGGUUUUUACAUUGCAUAAAAUGCACAUCUCUACUCUAAGACCAUUUAGCACGGUUUCUGAUCCUUGCUUAUUUUGAGAUGAGAGGUAAAAACAGCUUUUUACUAUAGUGAACCGAGGAGCCAUCAGAGGUGAUCAGAGUUCUAGCAAACGGGGCAGUUACUUUACAUUGCUUCAGUUCAUUCUAGUGGUAAAAAAGUUUUGAAAAUGCUACUGCACGAUUUCCAUAACCAG